This 72-nucleotide transfer RNA is filed under the name Chloroflexota bacterium. Its description in RNAcentral is "Chloroflexi bacterium tRNA-Gly". It matches the Rfam family "tRNA". Rfam says of the family: Transfer RNA (tRNA) molecules are approximately 80 nucleotides in length. Their secondary structure includes four short double-helical elements and three loops (D, anti-codon, and T loops). Further hydrogen bonds mediate the characteristic L-shaped molecular structure. tRNAs have two regions of fundamental functional importance: the anti-codon, which is responsible for specific mRNA codon recognition, and the 3' end, to which the tRNAs corresponding amino acid is attached (by aminoacyl-tRNA synthetases). tRNAs cope with the degeneracy of the genetic code in two manners: having more than one tRNA (with a specific anti-codon) for a particular amino acid; and 'wobble' base-pairing, i.e. permitting non-standard base-pairing at the 3rd anti-codon position. Lineage: Bacteria; Bacillati; Chloroflexota. RNAcentral also lists the same sequence under 4 other names. The record is from RNAcentral.
GCGGGAGUCGCCAAGUGGUAAGGCGUCAGCCUUCCAAGCUGAUAUCCGCGGGUUCGAAUCCCGUCUCCCGCU